CUUCUCUGCUUUCUUUUCAAUCGCUGCUACACAGCGUGAAUAAAUUGUGUCAUGACUCAGUGUCACUGCAGCGUUCGUGGUUUAAACGUCACAACUAAUUCAGAUCAAUUGAAAUGAAUUUAAAUAUUUUUUUUAUUUUGUUGCUUCUGGGUUUGAUUUCCUUUGUCAAAAGUGGAAUUGUAUCUCCCCUCGAAGGGGGUUACAAUCAAGUGGAUGUUCCCCUGAGACGUGUCAAAAGAUCUCAAAAUAUUGACAGCCCAUCAGAAACGGAUAAUGGCAGUAGCAGAAAACGAGAAAAGAAAUUCUUUCCAGUGUGGGAUGAUGCGAAUGGUGAAUAUACCGAACAAGAAAGUAAAAGCAAGGGAAACUAAUGGAACUUGGGAAAAUUCAUCAGCAUUUUAUAUUUCACUUUGAAAACUUAUCAUCUUUUUUGUUAUAAUUAAAUAAAUCUGUGCAUCCGUGAUGGUUAAAAAUUA
Musca domestica (house fly) is the source of this 476-nucleotide long non-coding RNA. RefSeq lists it as uncharacterized. The record is from RefSeq and is a predicted model, not a curated record. Lineage: Eukaryota; Metazoa; Arthropoda; Insecta; Diptera; Muscidae. The transcript is spliced from 2 exons.